This 121-nucleotide ribosomal RNA is filed under the name Petromyzon marinus (sea lamprey). The record is from RNAcentral. Lineage: Eukaryota; Metazoa; Chordata; Hyperoartia; Petromyzontiformes; Petromyzontidae.
GCCUAUGACCGAAUCACCUGGGAUGUGCCCAAUCUCACCAGAGCUCAGACGCUAAGCGGGGUUUGAGCCUGGAUAGCCCUUGGAUGGGCGCCCACCGUGCAUAAAACAUGUGCCGUAGGCU